GGAAGGAUCAUUAUUGAAUGAACUUGGUGUGGUUGUUGCUGGCCCUCUCGGGGGCAUGUGCACACCCAUCAUCCUCAUCUCUCCACCUGUGCACCUCUUGUAGACCUGGAUUGACUUUCCGAGGCAACUCGGUCGGGAAGAUUGCUGCGCUCUGUGAGCCAGCUUUCUUUGCAUGUCCAGGACUAUGUUUUUUCAUAUACCCCUAUAGAAUGUAACAGAAUGUAUCAUUGGGCCUUGUGCCUAUAAACCUUAUACAACUUUCAGCAACGGAUCUCUUGGCUCUCGCAUCGAUGAAGAACGCAGCGAAAUGCGAUAAGUAAUGUGAAUUGCAGAAUUCAGUGAAUCAUCGAAUCUUUGAACGCACCUUGCGCUCCUUGGUAUUCCGAGGAGCAUGCCUGUUUGAGUGUCAUUAAAUUCUCAACCUUAUUAACUUUUGUUGAUAAUGGAUUGGAUAUGGGGGUUUCUUUUGCUGGCUUCUUCACAGAGAUCAGCUCCCCUUAAAUGCAUUAGCUGGUGACCCGCGUGGACCAUCUAUUGGUGUGAUAAUUAUCUACGCCGUGGAUGUCUGCAAUCAAUAUGGGUUUUGCACUGCUUCUAACCGUCUGUUCAUUCGGACAAUACAUGACAAUUUGACCUCAAAUCAGGUAGGACUACCCGCUGAACUUAAGCAUAUCAAUAAGCGGAGGAAAAGAAACUAACAAGGAUUCCCCUAGUAACUGCGAGUGAAGCGGGAAAAGCUCAAAUUUAAAAUCUGGCGGUCUCCGGCCGUCCGAGUUGUAAUCUAGAGAAGUGUUAUCCGCGCUGGACCGUGUACAAGUCUCCUGGAAUGGAGCGUCAUAGAGGGUGAGAAUCCCGUCUUUGACACGGACUGCCAGGGCUUUGUGAUGCGCUCUCAAAGAGUCGAGUUGUUUGGGAAUGCAGCUCAAAAUGGGUGGUAAAUUCCAUCUAAAGCUAAAUAUUGGCGAGAGACCGAUAGCGA
RNAcentral lists this ribosomal RNA (979 nucleotides) under uncultured fungus. RNAcentral's name for it is "eukaryotic LSU rRNA". The stretch from base 631 to 979 matches the Rfam family "Eukaryotic large subunit ribosomal RNA", at positions 1 to 343 of the family's 3401-position model. The record is from RNAcentral. Lineage: Eukaryota; Fungi.